UUUCUUUCUGGCAGGGGAGACACCAUGAUCACUCAGGUGGUUUUCCCAGGGUGAGGCUCGCCCCUUGCACUCGGGGCGUGCUGACCCCUGCGAUUUCCCCACAUGCGGGAAACUCGACUGCAUAAUUUGUGGUAGUGGGGGACGCAAAUUCUUUCUUUCUUUC
This 163-nucleotide small nuclear RNA is filed under the name Alligator mississippiensis (American alligator). RNAcentral's name for it is "U1 spliceosomal RNA". It matches the Rfam family "U1 spliceosomal RNA". From Rfam's summary of the family: U1 is a small nuclear RNA (snRNA) component of the spliceosome (involved in pre-mRNA splicing). Its 5' end forms complementary base pairs with the 5' splice junction, thus defining the 5' donor site of an intron. Lineage: Eukaryota; Metazoa; Chordata; Crocodylia; Alligatoridae. The record is from Rfam by way of RNAcentral.